This 293-nucleotide ribosomal RNA is filed under the name uncultured bacterium. RNAcentral's name for it is "partial 16S ribosomal RNA". It matches the Rfam family "Bacterial small subunit ribosomal RNA", at positions 505 to 796 of the family's 1533-position model. The record is from RNAcentral.
GUGUCAGCCGCCGCGGUAAGACGAACCGUGCGAACGUUAUUCGGAAUCACUGGGCUUAAAGCGCGUGUAGGCGGGACGGCACGUCGGUCGCUGAAAGCCCCCGGCUCAACCGGGGAACGGGCGCCGAGACGACCGCCCUGGAGGGACGUAGGGGGACCUGGAACUUCCGGUGGAGCGGUGAAAUGCGUUGAGAUCGGAAGGAACGCCCGUGGCGAAAGCGAGGUCCUGGACGUCUGCUGACGCUGAGACGCGAAAGCCAGGGGAGCGAACGGGAUUAGAAACCCCUGUAGUCC